CAACAAGCGGUUGGCCAUUUUCUUAGUCCUACUUCUGCGGUUUCUUUCUCCAAGAGCUUCUGGAGGCUGUGUUUUUGAAAGAGCUUCUGAUUAAGAGCUGUGAAUGCUGUUCAUCUUUAAUUCCUUGCUGACUCCCCAAGUGCUGUCUGGGAUGCCUUAAAUACUUUUAGUAAAACCAUUAGUGCAACUAUUUGCAUUUGGUCCCGCCCAUCCUGACAAGAUCCCAAGUUGGCCCUACAGGAGAUGUAGACUUGAAUACAUUCUUCUCUGAGUAGAAGGAAACCCUGAGAUACUGAAAACGUGAUACCAACUCGGAGACAGCUGGACGAGCAGAAGUAUCGCUGCAGUGCAACAUUAUUCAGAUUGAUCCAGGGCUCGCC
Molecule: long non-coding RNA, 380 nt
Organism: Fukomys damarensis (Damara mole-rat)
Lineage: Eukaryota; Metazoa; Chordata; Mammalia; Rodentia; Bathyergidae
Exons: 3
Source: RefSeq, a predicted model, not a curated record